CGAGUUAACGUUGGCGGCGUGCCUAAUACAUGCAAGUCGAGCGGGGCUGUUUGCUGGAAGCCUUCGGGCGGAAAGCUUGCAGCCUAGCGGCGGACGGGUGAGUAACGCGUGGGUAACCUGUCCUGAAGUACGGGAUAACAGUUCGAAAGGGCUGCUAAUACCGUAUGUGGUCAAGGGGAGUUCGCUUUCUUUGACUAAAGGUGAAAACCGCUUCAGGGUGGGCCCGCGUCCCAUUAGCUAGUUGGUAGGGUAAUGGCCUACCAAGGCGACGAUCGGUAGCUGAUCUGAGAGGAUGAUCAGCCACACUGGAACUGAGACACGGUCCAGACUCCUACGGGAGGCAGCAGUGGGGAAUAUUGGACAAUGGGCGCAAGCCUGAUCCAGCCAUGCCGCGUGGGUGAAGAAGGCCUUCGGGUUGUAAAGCCCUUUUGUCCGGAAAGAAAAGCACGGGAUUAAUACCCUCGUGUGAUGACGGUACCGGAAGAAUAAGCACCGGCUAACUUCGUG
RNAcentral lists this ribosomal RNA (507 nucleotides) under uncultured bacterium. Its description in RNAcentral is "bacterial SSU rRNA". It matches the Rfam family "Bacterial small subunit ribosomal RNA", at positions 27 to 507 of the family's 1533-position model. The record is from RNAcentral.